Molecule: ribosomal RNA, 460 nt
Filed under: uncultured bacterium
Lineage: Bacteria
Description: partial 16S ribosomal RNA
Rfam family: Bacterial small subunit ribosomal RNA
Source: RNAcentral
CCUACGGGUGGCAGCAGUGAGGAAUAUUGGUCAAUGGACGAGAGUCUGAACCAGCCAAGUAGCGUGAAGGAUGACUGCCCUAUGGGUUGUAAACUUCUUUUAUAUGGAAAUAAAACAGGGUAUGCAUACCCUCUUGUAUGUACCAUAUUAAUAAGGAUCGGCUAACUCCGUGCCAGCAACCGCGGGAAUACGGAGGGUCCGAGCGUUAUACGGAUUUAUUGGGUUUAAAGGGGGCGUAGGUGGGUUGUUACGUCAGUUGUGAAAGUUUGCGGCUCAACCGUAAAAUUGCAGUUGAAACUGGCAGUCUUGAGUACAGUAGAGGAGGGCGGAAUUCGUGGUGGAGCGGUGAAAUGCUUAGAUAUCACGAAGAACUCCGGUUGCGAAGGCAGCUCACUGGACUGCAACUGACACUGAUGCUCGAAAGUGUGGGUAUCAAACAGGAUUAGAUACCCCGGUAGUC